AUACGUAGGGGGCGAGCGUUGUCCGGAAUGAUUGGGCGUAAAGGGCGUGUAGGCGGCUUGUUAAGUCUGAAGUGAAAGUCCUGUUUUCAAGAUGGGAAUUGCUUUGGAUACUGGCGGGCUUGAGUGCAGGAGAGGGUAUAGGGAUUCCCCGGGUUGCGGGGAAACGCGUAGAGAACUGGGGGAACACCAGUGGCGAAGGCGUGUAUCUGGACUGUAACUGACGCUGAGGCGCGAAAGUGUGUGGAGCAAACAGGAUUAGAUACCCUGGUAGUCCACGCUGUAAACGAUGAAUGCUAGGUGUAGGGGGUAUCGACCCCUUCUGUGCCUCAGUAAACACAAUAAGCAUUCCGCCUGGGGAGUACGGCCGCACGGUUGAAACUCAAAUGAAUUGACGGGG
This 397-nucleotide ribosomal RNA is filed under the name uncultured bacterium. RNAcentral describes it as "partial 16S ribosomal RNA". It matches the Rfam family "Bacterial small subunit ribosomal RNA", at positions 523 to 918 of the family's 1533-position model. The record is from RNAcentral.